This 534-nucleotide long non-coding RNA is filed under the name Nicotiana tabacum (common tobacco). Its description in RNAcentral is "long non-coding RNA (NTAB_LNC008319)". The record is from RNAcentral. Lineage: Eukaryota; Viridiplantae; Streptophyta; Magnoliopsida; Solanales; Solanaceae.
AACAAACAAAAAUUACCAUUAUGCCAGCAUAACCUCGUAUAUCUUUGUAAAUUGCAAGAGGGGUUUUUCCAUACCUACCGGAAUCCCUCUUGUCAAGAAAAUAUAACAAUUUGGUAAAAAUCAUGAGAAAAAACAUUCAAAGACAAACGUAUGACUUGCUAUAAGCUAACAAGCUACUAUAAACUAAACUACAAACUAACCCUGCUGAAGAAUCAUCCAUUGAAUGCUUUAAUUCAUGGCUUUCUGAAUAGCGCUCUUGUUGCUCAGUUACAUCAAAAUCCAUUGUUUUUAUUGUUUCUCUACCUAUGAAACCUGCAAACGGAUACGAGAUUAUUUCCAAAAACACCUCUAGUUUUGAGGUUGGCUUCUGUAGUUUUCAGCUAAAAGGAAUAAACCCUAACUAAACCUUGACGGAUUCCAGCACGUAGCUAGCUUUAGGUAUUCUCUCCACGAGAUGGAUUACUGAGGAAAGGAGUUGAGUAGUGAGUUUUGUGAUUGCAUAAACCCUAGCCCUUUUGCGGUAAAAUGGAAAAU